Molecule: ribosomal RNA, 275 nt
Filed under: uncultured bacterium
Lineage: Bacteria
Description: partial 16S ribosomal RNA
Rfam family: Bacterial small subunit ribosomal RNA
Source: RNAcentral
CCUACGGGGGGCUGCAGGGAGGAAUAUUGGACAAUGGGGGAAACCCCGAUCCAGCAACGCCGCGUGAGGGAUGAAGGCCUUCGGGUCGUAAACCUCUUUUAAGGGAGACGAGAAAGGACGGUAUCCCUGGAAUAAGUCACGGCUAACUACGUGCCAGCAGCCGCGGUAAUACGUAGGUGACGAGCGUUAUCCGGAUUUACUGGGCGUAAAGCGCUUGUAGGUGGCUUUGUAAGUUGGGCGUGAAAACUCUGGGCUUAACCCAGAGACGCCGUCCA